UUGGAGGGCAAGUCUGGUGCCAGCAGCCGCGGUAAUUCCAGCUCCAAUAGCGUAUAUUAAAGUUGUUGCAGUUAAAAAGCUCGUAGUUGAAUUUCGGGGUCAGUAGGUUGGUCAUGCCACUGGUAUGUACUGGCCUCACUGAUUCCUCCUUCCUGAUGAGCCGUAAUGCCAUUAAUUUGGUGUUGCGAGGAAUCUGGACUGUUACUUUGAAAAAAUUAGAGUGUUUAAAGCAGGCUAACGCUUGAAUACAUUAGCUUGGAAUAAUGAAAUAGGACGUUCGAUCUUAUUUUGUUGGUUUCUAAGAUUGACGUAAUGAUUAAUAGGGAUAGUUGGGGGCAUUAGUAUUCAAUUGUCAGAGGUGAAAUUCUUGGAUUUAUUGAAGACUAACUACUGCGAAAGCAUUUGCCAAGGAUGUUUUCAUUAAUCAAGAACGAAAGUUAGGGGAUCGAAGACGAUCAGAUACCGUCGUAGUCUUAACCAUAAACUAUGCCGACUAGGGAUCGGAUGAUGUUAAUUUUUUAAUGACUCAUUCGGCGCCUUACGGGAAACCAAAGUGUUUGGGUUC
RNAcentral lists this ribosomal RNA (565 nucleotides) under uncultured Glomeromycotina. RNAcentral describes it as "SSU rRNA". It matches the Rfam family "Eukaryotic small subunit ribosomal RNA", at positions 548 to 1114 of the family's 1831-position model. The record is from RNAcentral. Lineage: Eukaryota; Fungi; Glomeromycota.